This 5597-nucleotide long non-coding RNA is filed under the name Sus scrofa (pig). Its description in RNAcentral is "lncRNA (ENSSSCG00000061408.1)". The record is from RNAcentral. Lineage: Eukaryota; Metazoa; Chordata; Mammalia; Artiodactyla; Suidae.
AAGGCAGUGGCACAGAGCAGUUGAGUAAUUUGCUCAAGAUCUCAUAAACAGAAGAGCAAUAAACAGAGGGUCAUCUCUUGACUACUGCUGAUUCAGUGUUGUCACUGCUUCGGCUCAGGUUUGAUCCUAGGCCGACUGGUUUGUUGCUGUGGGCGAGGCCAAAAAAAAAAAAAGAACAUUAAAGAAAAAAAAUACACAAAUCCCAUCUAUCCGGUAACAACCAUUCUCAGCACUUUGGUGCAUUUACUUCCAAAUCUCUUCCUUGAACUUUGAUGGAAAAUCCUCUGUCCCCAUUGCUAAUUCCAAGGCUAAUUAAGCAUUAUGAACAGUUUGAUAUGCGUUCCCAGAUGUAUAUGCAAACACAUGCGGAGGUAAUCCACACACCUUUUUUAAUGUCUUACUGUAUGCAUUGUUUUGCUAGGCACUUUUUCACUCAGUAUAUGCUGGACAUAUUGCUAUAUGUGUUGUGUAUAGUCUAACACAUAUUUUAAUUGACUAAUAUGAAUUGUGCUACUUUCAGAGGAUAACUAUACUCUCUUCUAGUGUACCCCUUUCACUGAUUGACAUUUAGAUUAAUUGUCCCACUUUCCCUAUGUCAACUUUAGUAGCUGUAUAUAUUUUACUGUAUAAAAGUACUCUAAUUUUCCUCUUAUAUGAUGGAUGCAGGUUAUUUGAAGGUACUAGGAUGAACCUUCUCAAAACUGAGGAUUUGAGUACAUCUUUACUUAUUUCCCAGUCCCAACCAAAAUGCCAAGACUAAAUGAUCACCCAGUCAUUUAAAAAAAAAAAAAAAAAAAGAAAGAAAGACACUUGAUUGAGGCAUACUGUACAUAUUGUAAAAUUCACCUCUUUUAAGUGUACAGUUCAGAGAUUUUGAAUAAAUUUAGCAAGUUAAGCAGCCAGCACCAUAAACCAUUUAUAGAACAUUUUCAUAGGUCCAGUAAGAUCCUUUUUAGAGUUAAUCUUCAUUCUUAUCCCCAGUCCCAGGCCACCACUAAUCUACUUUAUGUCUCUGCGAUUGGCCUUUUCUGGACAUUUCGUAUACCCUGUCACUUUUAGGAAGUUAGUAUCUAUGAGUAAUACUUCUUUUCUUAUUCUUUUGAAUAAUUUGGCUCACAUAAAACUCCUGGCUAGAAUUGUCCAUUAUAUUAGGGCUUAGUACUGUCUUGAAUAGUAAUAAGAAUUAUUAUUACUCUUUAUUUUUGUCUCUGUUCCACAGAGCCUGCAGUUGUGAGGCUUCCUUUUGCCAUAUCAAAAGAGAACUGUUGGGGUGGCUUUCAGCUUGUUUCAUUAAUUUCUUCAUGUAUUGGGCUUGAGAGUAAUACGGAUUCUUGACUUAGUUUGAUUGAGAAUGUGUGCUGAUUUCACAGAAGACAUGCUACUCAGACAUGGCAAAAACUACCAGAACCUCACCUUUAAGAAGUGAUACCAAAAACUUCUUAGUCAUGCGAUCCCAAACCAGUUUUGAUACUAAGUGUUACCUUCAUAUUGCUUAGAAAAGUUGGGCAACCUAAUUGGGCUGAACAACUCUGUAGCGUUAAAAUAAUUAAAACAUUUUUAAAGUUAUAGUUGCUAUUGUAUUGCUUUUAUAAACUGUUUUGAAUUAAAAACUGAUAAUUGAAAAAUUUAGAAUAAUUUCAUUUCAGUACUUAGUAUUUUGAUAUCAGAUAGUUCCUGCAAAUAUUUUGGGUACCUCGUCUCUGCAUUUGUAGCACUCCCCAUACAUAUUUAUUUUUAAUUGUUAUUCAAGUGAAUAAUUACUAUUUCCCAAAGACCUUUAUUUUUUAAGAAGUUCAGGGAGAGUAGAGAAAUAACCAACAAGCAUGCCUCUUUUAUCCAUGAGAAGAAAAAAAAAAAUCCAGUGUGAUAUUAACUGUAUUUUACAAUAUUUGUUAGCACACCUGAGCACAAAGUCCAGGCGUGGAAUUAUUUCUGUGUGUAGUCUUUGGAAACAUAUCUAGUACACGGCAGAGGUACUCCUAGGAGAAGUGAAAUUAUUCAGCCUCACAGUUCCUGGAUGCCCCUCCACUUCUUGAGGCUGAUUCAUCGCCAUAGGUGAUAUCAUCCCUUCAUAGGCUCCAUAACUCAUUUGUUUUCAGUGGCUUUUUUAUGAGUCAGUGAUUAACACCUGAGGAAGAGAAGAGCUUCUUCUUUAAAGGAAAUAACAGAUUUAUCUUGAGUACCUUUGAAGCCAGAAUGGUUGCUUAGGUAACAUCUGUUCCAUUUUAUCAUCUUUGGCAAAUGGGAAAGGCAACUUUCUCAACUCGUGUUUGUCUUUCAAAGGGGAAAUCAAAGCAAUGGAGAGUAGUUGAUGCUUAUCCAGAAAAGAUAACUCCUAUGCACAGAGGCAAAGAGAUGUAGACAUCUAAAUAAACCCAGAUGCUUUGUUCUUCAGAACUUGUAGAAAUUGAUUUUCUCUUUUCAUGGAAGGGGAGCGGAUCAGAUGUGUAUAUUAUCAGAAUGUUGUUGAACAUAAACCAGCUGGAUCCCCUCUUCUCCCAUUUCUCUGGUUUGUUGUCCUGGCCGUCUCUUUUCAUUUAAGAACUAGAUGAGGCCACUCAUGCUUAAUCCUUCCUGUACUCUUCAUCUUGCUUUCUUGUACAUGUGUAUGAUUCAAGAUUCCAGAUCCUUCUCUUGAAUUGGGCAAUGACAGUAUAACUAGACACUACUCAUUACCACAUAUCCUGUCUGGUACACAUAGAGCACCCCACCCUGAGUGAACUCUCAUCUAGGUGUGCAGAGAACACAAAGGUGAUAUCUGCUGUUUGCAAAGAGUGCAAAUUUGGAUCUGUAAAUAUAGCAACCACAUCAGAGAUCUCAGAUGAUCAGAUUCACUGUGAGAGAAUGGGUUGGGAAUAUUGAUGUAAAGAAGAUAAACUGACUUUUUUGCUUUUGAUCUUACAGAACACUAAGUUUGUGUAAAUUUAACUCCACGGAUGGAGUUUAAAUCUAGUUCUUUCUAUUUUGUAACUCAUUUGCCUUUAGACUAACCCAUUCCUUGCUAUCCCUGGUUCCAAAUUAUCUCUACCCUCCAGGGUCCUUUGGUUUUGUUUUGUUUUUAACUUCCUUUUUUAUAGACUCUUAAAUGGCUACCACUUAUAGAUAGAUCUUCUGAAAGGCAAACAUCCUCCAGGAAAAGGAAUCACCUUUGUAGUGUCUUGACCUUUGCCUUGUUCUCUUCAACUCCUUGCAGAGCAUACUUGGACUUGAGAUAAAGGGGCUGUAAAUGUGAAGAAGACCUCUGUGGAGCCUAGGGAAGUGAACACUCCUGAGGAUAUGAAGCCCAAAAGGAGGUUGAGAUUUCAGUCAUGCAAAUUGUCUCUUUCAUUUUUUUGCUCAAGUUUUUUAUCAAGGAAAGAAGAAAAUAGAGUAGGAGAGUCCGGAUCUUGGUUUGGUUCCUUAGAGGAAGUUUUGUUGAGUACAGUUAGGGCUCAUAGUUGAAUGAGUAAUCUUUCAAAAGGAGAAAUAAUGAAAAAUGAUACAUGCCCCCCCAUAAACAUUUUUUCAACUUAGAAAUAUCAAUGUCUAGAAUUGAUUAGUUUUCCAGGUAGUUGUCAAGAGUGUUUUUUUGGAUGUGGGUCCUCUGUUUUGAGUUUCAUGUUGUCUGUCCCUCACAAACCAUAGUCAUGAUGUACCGUUGGCAAUGUCUAGUCCUUUAUUUCUUUUAAGCCAGAACAUCCAAGCUUUUAAAGCAGCUCAGUACUGAAUGCAUCUAGGCUUUUUUCACAUUUUUCCCUUAGAAUAUUAACAUUAUCUUGAAUAUACCUAAUUUUCAGCAAUCAAUUUUAGCUAUUUUCUUUUGUCACGUAUUUCUAAAGCAUUCAAUUUAGUUUUAUGGAAACAAUGGCUCAUUUUUUUCCAGCCACAAAUUUCAUUUAUUACUUAAUAUUUUGUUACAUUACAUAAUAGAAACAAGUACAACCUGCACAAACAGGUUUAGAAGCAAAUGUAACUUAAGUCUUGGUAAGCACUGCACAUCGACCAGUGGGAACAGAGUUGUCUUAGCCAAUACCAGUGAUGGUGAGUUACUUAGCCAUCUGCAUGCUUUACUGUGUUGUGAGAGAGGGAUUAAUCUAGUCUAAGAUCGGUUAAGGGAUCCAGGGGACCCCACCAACUCAUUUAACUUGCUUUUUACUAUGAAUUGUAUCUCCAGUUGUAAACAUUCCGUACACUAUUCAUAGCAGUAACCCAUGAAAGUGGAUUUGGGUAUCUAAUCACAAAAAAAAUAGCCAUGUGGCUGGAGCAGGCAGGACAUGGGUUUCACCACACCUCAAGGCUUCACAUCUCUAGAUAUCUCUUGAUAUUGAUGGAUUUAAGGAAUAAGCUCAUUGUUAGAGGGGAGCCAAAACACCCAGCUCAGUGAAGUGCUUCUGCCAAACUCUUCCUGUUAUGUAAAAGCUAAAAUGAGUCCAUGUAGAUUACAGUAUUAUUCUCUGCAUGAUCAUUAGUUAAAAAGUAUAAUUAGUUCAUAUGGUGACUUGUUAAUUUAAUUUGUUGCUUGAUUACCUGAAGAAGCAGUCAUUAACUUCAUUAUUUUUACUUUUUAGGUAGGCGCAAAAGAAUCGUUCCAAUCAUUACGUACUAACCAUUUGGUGUUGAAUGAAAAGCAAAACCCUAGGGAAAAAAAACAACUUUAGAUCCAAUAAGCCUGAACAAUGGGGUCAAACUUGUCUUGCUUUCCUGAUUCCCAAAUUAAGUUAGCUCUGACUUGAAAUGCAUGGGCAGCUCUAAGAAAAACUUCACGUUUUCUGCUGUGGCAUGUUUACUUCAAAUAAACAGAUUUUUACUUUGAUUUCCAUGGCUUAGUGCCUGGCACCAGAAUUUUCCAGACCUAUUUAAAGACCACACCCUCUGAGAAGAGUCACAUACUAUGCAAAGUUGUGGGUAACUGAGUGGCAAGAGGAGUUUCUUUGUGGCUCUUGAUCAAGUUUGGGCCCAUUCUGCCCUGUCACGUGUCUCAAAAUGUGGUACAGAACGCAUCUGAAGCGCCAGGGGAAAACCAGUGUUAUGCCAUCAUCCUUGUUACCGUCUCUGACUCUCGUCUUUGUUGAAUUAGGCAUUCCUGCGGCUGGCGGUGAACAUUUUGAUUUGGGAUCCAUGUAACACACGCUAGACCCUUUAGAUGAUGAGCACCGACUCUGUAGGUUCAGUCUACUGUAGACUGGCUUGCGGUCUCAUUUGGCUCAGUGAUUCCUGGUAGGCACAGCAAAGUGGGAAACAUCAUAAGAUUCCCAUUAUCCGUAAGAUAAGAUCUGAUCAGCUUUUUAAAAGUCCGGAGAGGAAAGGUAUGAGGACAGAAUGUAAAUAAUUUUUCCCUUCAACCCAGAGAAUUGGCUUACGUGGCAGUUUCCCCCUGCUGUUGUGUGUCCCUAUAGAGAUAGGACACAUGACUCAGGUGGCAAAGGUCAGGAGUCUGAACAUUUGGGUAAUGAGUACCCUGCUCCGGGAAGAUGAACUGAGCACACUGUCCCCAGGACGUGUAAGAUGGGAAGAAUCGCCUUGCUCUGGGGCUUGGACCUUUAUCAGCUCACCUGCAAGACCUUUUUAAGCUGUACUGUUCAGCCAGUGCUUUUGUUUCCUGCAUCUUAGAUGUCCAU